Molecule: long non-coding RNA, 248 nt
Organism: Lolium rigidum
Lineage: Eukaryota; Viridiplantae; Streptophyta; Magnoliopsida; Poales; Poaceae
Exons: 3
Source: RefSeq, a predicted model, not a curated record
CGGAAGGGAGUUUUCUGGUGGAUUUAUCACGGGCUCGUGGCUCGGGAACAACAAGUGCAGGGAAGGAGAUACACACAAGACGAAGAUUUUAGAGAAAAACGACUACACCUUGAUAUGUCUGAAUCCAUACAUAACAAAAUAAGGUUGUAGAAAAAUAUCAUGCGUCUACAAUAUCUCAUUCGAAAUCAAGGACCACUCUAUUGAAUUUUAUGUCAGCUGUGAUACCAACUCUGCUGAAUUUCUUGUCC